Molecule: non-coding RNA, 79 nt
Organism: Bursaphelenchus xylophilus (pine wood nematode)
Lineage: Eukaryota; Metazoa; Nematoda; Chromadorea; Rhabditida; Aphelenchoididae
Source: Rfam
CCGACUCUGAUAUGUCUAGUAUUCUUGGGUUCUAGAUUCCUUUAGAGGCAACCCUAAUGCUGGGCAUAUCGGAGGCAGU